GACGAACGCUGGCGGCAUGCUUAACACAUGCAAGUCGAACGGGACGUUCUGCUUUCGUUGCGGACGGGUGGGUAACCGGUUGGAACCUGCGUUUGGGUUCGGCAUAACUCCCCGAAAGAACUGCUAAAAACGGCUGAUGACUUCGGACCAAAGGUUUAUCGCCGUUGGAUGGGGCGUCGUUGGAGUGGCUAGUUGGUAGGGUAAAAGCCUACUAAGUCGACGGUCCGUAGCUGGUCGGAGAGGAUGAUCCACCACACGGGGGCUGAGACACGGCCCCGACUCCUACGGGAGGCAGCAGUGGGGAAUAGUGAACGAGGGGCGAAGGGCUGAUGCAGCACUGCGGGGUGAGUGAUGAAGUUCUGAGGGUUGUAAAGCUCUAUUAGCCGGGAUGAUAGUGACGGUACCGGGAGAAGAAGCUCCGGCUAACUACGUG
Molecule: ribosomal RNA, 433 nt
Filed under: uncultured bacterium
Lineage: Bacteria
Description: partial 16S ribosomal RNA
Rfam family: Bacterial small subunit ribosomal RNA
Source: RNAcentral